RNAcentral lists this ribosomal RNA (425 nucleotides) under uncultured bacterium. RNAcentral describes it as "bacterial SSU rRNA". It matches the Rfam family "Bacterial small subunit ribosomal RNA", at positions 358 to 775 of the family's 1533-position model. The record is from RNAcentral.
GGGAAUUUGGACAAUGGGCGAAAGCCUGAUCCAGCCAUGCCGCGUGCGGGAAGAAGGCCUUCGGGUUGUAAACCGCUUUUGUCAGGGAAGAAAUAUUCCGGGUUAAUACCCUGGAAGGAUGACGGUACCUGAAGAAUAAGCACCGGCUAACUACGUGCCAGCAGCCGCGGUAAUACGUAGGGUGCGAGCGUUAAUCGGAAUUACUGGGCGUAAAGCGUGCGCAGGUGGUCAUGUAAGACAGAUGUGAAAUCCCCGGGCUUAACCUGGGAAUUGCAUUUGUGACUGCAUGGCUAGAGUGUGGCAGAGGGGGAUGGAAUUCCGCGUGUAGCAGUGAAAUGCGUAGAUAUGCGGAGGAACACCGAUGGCGAAGGCAGUCCCCUGGGCCUGCACUGACACUCAAGCACGAAAGCGUGGGGAGCAAACAG